AAGGUAAUUGUAACUAACAAGGAAUGAUCUAGUAACUGCGAGUGAAAAGUCGUUAUGUCAAUCUUGAAUUCUAUUGAAGUUGUGAUUCUCGGCUUAUGUGCCCAUGUGACUAAAGAUUCCUGGAAAGGAACACCAGAGGCGGUAAAAGUCCGCAUAUGUUGCGAAGGGUUACUGUCGGGAUUAGAGUCGUGUUGUGUGUGAUUGCAAUGCAAAGUUGGAGGUUAUGCACUCCUAAACAAUGUAAUGAAUGUGGAUCCGAUAGCGAACAAGUACCAUGAGGGAAAGUUGAAAAGCACUUUGAAAAGAGAGUGAAAAGUACGUGCAAACCGUUUGGACAAAAGGGCAUAAGUGGGAACAAGGCGAUGACUCUUGCGAGUUGGUAAGCCGAUUAACUUUGUUGGUGCUAAUCUAUUUCACUUGCUGUUAUGCAUGUGAUACCGGUGUUACGAAUAGAGUGUUGUUCUGUAUUUUGCCUCCCGUCUUGAAACACGGACCAAGGAGUUUGAGCGGUCAGCAAGUCACAAAGAAGUAGACUCUUGAAGGCGCAAAGAAAUUGAAUCAAUCUCUGUAUUGUUACGGCCGUUAACUCGAAAGAACUAAGCGGCGGAUAGCUCCUUGUGGGCUGAUUCGGAGCUGACUGAACGAGACCCGAAAGAUGGUGAUCUAUGCUUAGACAGGAUGAAGCCACGGGAAACCAUGGUGGAAAUCCGAAGCGGUUCUGACGUGCAAAUCGAUCGUGUGAUCUUGGUAUAGGGGCGAAAGACUAAUCGAACCAUCUGGUAGCUGGUUCCCUCUGAAGUUUCCCUCAGGAUAGCAGACGUUACGUUUACAGUUUUAUGGGUUAGAGCGAAUGAUUAGAGGUCCGGGAGAUUGCGUAUUUUCCACCUAUUCUCAAACUUCGAAUCGGUAAUGUUUGACAGUACUGCAGUAACACUGUCAAUCAAAUGUUAAUGUCUAGUGGGCCUUUUUUGGUAAGCAGAACUGGCGAUGUGGGAUGAACCAAUAGCUAAAUUUAGGCGUCUAAACUAAGCUCAUGAGUAACCAUGAAAGGUGUUGAUCGAUAUAGACAGCAGGACAGUGGCCAUGGAAGUUGGAAUCUGCAAAGGAGUGUGUAACAACUCACCUGCCGAAUCAAUCAGCCCUGAAAAAGGAUGACACUAGAGCUUGGUGCUCAGAUUUGGCUGUAAUAGGCAAAUACAAAGUGUUUAACUAUUGCAAGUAAGAGGGUACGGUGGUUGCGUAGACCUGUGUUUGUGAGAAUGCAGAGAGCGGCCAUCGGAGCUGAUCUUGGUGGUAGUAGCAAUUAUUCAAGUGAGAUCCUUGAGAACCUAAGUGGAGAUUGGCUUCCAUGUGAACAGUGAUUGAACGUGGGUAAGUCGCUCCUAAGCUGGAUGCGAAAGUUUCAUCAGUGACUUUGUCUGACAGCAAAAGGGAAUUGCGUUAAGAUUCUCAAACCUCGAUUGAAACAGCAAAUGGUGACAUGUUGAUUUCGGAUACGGUUUCACGUUGUUGGAUGAGAGUUUUCUUUUCUUCUUGACACAAAAAUAUCCGUGGAAAGGUGUUAGACCACGAAACGGAUAUCGUUUUGGCAGAAAAUGGCAGCAUUUGCAGUCUUCCAUGCAUCUGUGGGACUCCUUGAAAAUCCGAGCUCAUAACAUCAAUCGAGGGCGUACCAAUAACCGCAUCAGGUUCCCAAGGUGAGAAGCCUCUGGUUUGGAACAGUGUAGGUAAGGGAAGUCGGCAUAGUGGAUUCGGACCUUUGGUAUAAGGAUUGGCUCUGAGGACUGGGAUGUGGGAGCUAGUAACUUUGUGAGAUGUCGGCGUCGCAGUGGGAUGCUUGUUGUCCUGCGGCUUCACCGGUUGAUCAUUGAAGUAUGUGGUAGCCCAUUUCGUUUUACAGUCAAACUCAGAACUGACACUGACACGGGGAUUCCGACUGUCUAAUUAAAACAAAGCAUUGCGAUGGCAAGUGACUGAGUGUUGACGCAAUGUGAUUUCUGCCCAGUGCUCUGAAUGUCAAAGUGAAGAACUUCAAACAAGCGCGGGUAAACGGCGGGAGUAACUAUGACUCUCUUAAGGUAGCCAAAUGCCUCGUCAUCUAAUUAGUGACGCGCAUGAAUGGAUCAACGAGAUUCCUCCUGUCCCUAUCUACCAUCCAGCGAAACUACAGCUAGGGGAACGGGCCUAGUGUAAUCGGCGGGGAAAGAAGACCCUGUUGAGCUUGACUCUAGUUUGACAUUGUGAAGUGACUCGUGAAGUGUAGCAUAGGUGGGAGCAGGUGCAACUUUGAAAUACCACUAUUCGCGGUGUCAUUUUACUUAUCCGAUCGUGAUCUUGGUUCUUGUGACCUUCUUCAUUCAAUAACCCUUGCAUUCGUGGGGGCUUAUUAUCGGAGAAGGUGUCAGGCUGGGAGUUUGACUGGGGCGGUACAUCUGUAAAAAGAUAACGCAGGUGUCCUAAGGUUGACUCGGCGUGGACAGAAACCUCGCUGAGAGCAAAAAGGCAAAUGUCAGCUUGAUCUGUUUUUACAGUAUGAUUACAGACUGCGAAAGCGUGGCCUAUCGAUCCUUUUGAUUUUAGUGUAUUUAAGCAAGAGGUGUCAGAAAAGUUACCACAGGGAUAACUGGCUCGUGGCAGCCAAGCGUUCAUAGCGACGUUGCUUUUUGAUCCUUCGAUGUCGGCUCUUCCUAUCAUUGCGAAGCAGAAUUCGCAAAGUGUUGGAUUGUUCACCCACUAACAGGGAACGUGAGCUGGGUUUAGACCGUCGUGAGACAGGUUAGUUUUACCCUACUGAUGGCUUAACACUGUGACAGAAUUUUCACUUAGUACGAGAGGAACUGUGAAUACAAGCUUCUGGUUUCUACUGCUCUCCGAUCGGGAAGU
RNAcentral lists this ribosomal RNA (2883 nucleotides) under Aphanostoma erinae. RNAcentral describes it as "partial 28S ribosomal RNA". It matches the Rfam family "Eukaryotic large subunit ribosomal RNA", at positions 52 to 3089 of the family's 3401-position model. Lineage: Eukaryota; Metazoa; Xenacoelomorpha; Acoela; Convolutidae. The record is from RNAcentral.